CCUACGGGAGACAGCAGUGGGGAAUAUUGGGCAAUGGGCGCAAGCCUGACCCAGCAACGCCGCGUGAGGGAAGAAGGCUUUCGGGUUGUAAACCUCUUUUAACAGGGAAGAGCAGAAGACGACAUCUCUUGAAUAAGCCACGGCUAACUACGUGCCAGCAGCCGCUGUCAUACGGAGGUGGCACGCGUUGCGCGGAUUUACUGGGUGUAACGGGCGUGUAGGCGGGCUGAUAAGUCAGAUGUGAAAUCCCGGGGCUCAACCACGGCACUGCGUUGGAAACUGUCGGUCUUGAGUACAGGAGAGGUAGGCGGAAUUCCUAGUGUAGCGGUGAAAUGCGUAGAUAUUAGGAGGAACACCAGUGGCGAAGGCGGCCUGCUGGACGGAAACUGACGGUGAGGCGCGAAAGCGUGGGGAGCAAACAGGAUUAGAUACCCUAGUAGUC
RNAcentral lists this ribosomal RNA (442 nucleotides) under uncultured bacterium. RNAcentral's name for it is "partial 16S ribosomal RNA". It matches the Rfam family "Bacterial small subunit ribosomal RNA", at positions 338 to 795 of the family's 1533-position model. The record is from RNAcentral.